This 467-nucleotide ribosomal RNA is filed under the name uncultured bacterium. Its description in RNAcentral is "partial 16S ribosomal RNA". It matches the Rfam family "Bacterial small subunit ribosomal RNA", at positions 28 to 507 of the family's 1533-position model. The record is from RNAcentral.
GAUGAACGCUGACAGAAUGCUUAACACAUGCAAGUCAACCUGAAUUUGGGUUUUUAACUUAGGUUUGGGUGGCGGACGGGUGAGUAACGCGUAAAGAACUUGCCUCCCAGCUAGGGACAACAUUUGGAAACGAAUGCUAAUACCUAAUAUUAUGAUAAUAGGGCCUCCUAUAAUUAUGAAAGCUAUAAGCGCUGUGAGAGAGCUUUGCGUCCCAUUAGCUAGUUGGAGAGGUAACGGCUCACCAAGGCGAUGAUGGGUAGCCGGCCUGAGAGGGUGAUCGGCCACAAGGGGACUGAGACACGGCCCGUACUCCUACGGGAGGCAGCAGUGGGGAAUAUUGGACAAUGGACCGAGAGUCUGAUCCAGAAAUUCUGUGUGCACGAUGAAGUUUUUCGGAAUGUAAAGUGCUUUCAGUUGGGAAGAAACAAAUGACGGUACCAACAGAAGAAGUGACGGCUAAAUACGUG